GGAGAGUGGGCUGGAUGGUAAGGCAUCGGAUUGCUAAUCCGACGCUCCGAAAGGGGCGAGUGGGUUCGACUCCCACACUCUCCGCCA
This 87-nucleotide transfer RNA is filed under the name bacterium. Its description in RNAcentral is "tRNA-Ser". It matches the Rfam family "tRNA". Rfam says of the family: Transfer RNA (tRNA) molecules are approximately 80 nucleotides in length. The record is from RNAcentral.